This 465-nucleotide ribosomal RNA is filed under the name Vreelandella stevensii. Its description in RNAcentral is "partial 16S ribosomal RNA". It matches the Rfam family "Bacterial small subunit ribosomal RNA", at positions 338 to 795 of the family's 1533-position model. Lineage: Bacteria; Pseudomonadati; Pseudomonadota; Gammaproteobacteria; Oceanospirillales; Halomonadaceae. The record is from RNAcentral.
CCUACGGGAGGCAGCAGUGGGGAAUAUUGGACAAUGGGGGGAACCCUGAUCCAGCCAUGCCGCGUGUGUGAAGAAGGCCCUCGGGUUGUAAAGCACUUUCAGUGAGGAAGAACGCCUGGUGGUUAAUACCCAUCAGGAAAGACAUCACUCACAGAAGAAGCACCGGCUAACUCCGUGCCAGCAGCCGCGGUAAUACGGAGGGUGCGAGCGUUAAUCGGAAUUACUGGGCGUAAAGCGCGCGUAGGUGGCUUGAUAAGCCGGUUGGGAAAGCCCCGGGCUCAACCUGGGAACGGCAUCCGGAACUGUCAAGCUAGAGUGCAGGAGAGGAAGGUAGAAUUCCCGGUGUAGCGGUGAAAUGCGUAGAGAUCGGGAGGAAUACCAGUGGCGAAGGCGGCCUUCUGGACUGACACUGACACUGAGGUGCGAAAGCGUGGGUAGCAAACAGGAUUAGAUACCCGAGUAGUC